AAUUUGCUAUUUGCUCGGACAUUAACAGAGUUAAAUCAUAGUCAAUGUUUCAUGUUAUGUGUGAAAAUGUAUCAGCGUUUAUUGUUUUUAUUUAAUAUCAAAUGAAACGCCUGUAGUAUCUGUAGUUUUACCACUUUGUGAGGACUUGUUGAUUUAAUUCAUAUGAACCAGUAGCAUUUAAGCGAGUCGCUAAUGACCGUUAGGAGUGAACUUCGAGCGGGAACAGACACCUGAACAACUUUAUUUUUGAACACCUGUAGUUGUGUGUGUCCCAUAUUGUUGUAGGUUAUGGUUGACUUCAGACGAUGAGUGACUGCUUCCCCUGCUUGGUGACUGAUGGAGAGGAGCAGAUCGCUGACACAAAAUUGCCUGAAAAAAUGAGUCUUGAACGUUCGCUUGCUUGUGUUCGCUGUGAUCACUUUCUCAAAGUAAGAUGAAACACUCGUCAUCGUUCUUCUGAUUCUCCUGCAAGGUCAAACACACAGCAACUCUGUUUACUUCACAUCAAUAAUUCUGCAAUGGAAAUCGGUUUAUUCAUGCAGAACAAAAGUGGAUGUAGCAGGCAAAAGUGCAGCUUGAAGCUGAACCGGGAACUUACCAAGUC
Labrus bergylta (ballan wrasse) is the source of this 604-nucleotide non-coding RNA. The record is from RefSeq and is a predicted model, not a curated record. Lineage: Eukaryota; Metazoa; Chordata; Actinopteri; Labriformes; Labridae.